UAAUACGGAGGGUGCGAGCGUUGUCCGGAAUCACUGGGCGUAAAGGGCGCGUAGGCGGUUCGGUAAGUUGCUGGUGAAAUCCCGGGGCUCAACCCCGGGGCUGCCGGCAUGACUGCCGGACUUGAGCACGGUAGGGGCAGAUGGAAUUCCCGGUGUAGCGGUGGAAUGCGUAGAUAUCGGGAAGAAUACCAGUGGCGAAGGCGUUCUGCUGGGCCGUUGCUGACGCUGAGGCGCGACAGCGUGGGGAGCAAACAGGAUUAGAUACCCUGGUAGUCCACGCCGUAAACGAUGGACACUAGGCGUCGGGGGGAGCGACCCUCCCGGUGCCGUCGCUAACGCAGUAAGUGUCCCGCCUGGGGAGUACGGCCGCAAGGCUG
Molecule: ribosomal RNA, 377 nt
Filed under: uncultured bacterium
Lineage: Bacteria
Description: bacterial SSU rRNA
Rfam family: Bacterial small subunit ribosomal RNA
Source: RNAcentral